Molecule: ribosomal RNA, 3110 nt
Filed under: Salmonella enterica subsp. enterica serovar Moero
Lineage: Bacteria; Pseudomonadati; Pseudomonadota; Gammaproteobacteria; Enterobacterales; Enterobacteriaceae
Description: 23S ribosomal RNA
Rfam family: Bacterial large subunit ribosomal RNA
Source: RNAcentral
GGGUUGUGAGGUUAAGCGACUAAGCGUACACGGUGGAUGCCCUGGCAGUCAGAGGCGAUGAAGGGCGUGCUAAUCUGCGAUAAGCGCCGGUAAGGUGAUAUGAACCGUUAUAACCGGCGAUACCCGAAUGGGGAAACCCAGUGUGACUCGUCACACUAUCAUUAACUGAAUCCAUAGGUUAAUGAGGCGAACCGGGGGAACUGAAACAUCUAAGUACCCCGAGGAAAAGAAAUCAACCGAGAUUCCCCCAGUAGCGGCGAGCGAACGGGGAGGAGCCCAGAGCCUGAAUCAGCAUGUGUGUUAGUGGAAGCGUCUGGAAAGGCGCGCGAUACAGGGUGACAGCCCCGUACACAAAAGCGCAUGUGCUGUGAGCUCGAUGAGUAGGGCGGGACACGUGGUAUCCUGUCUGAAUAUGGGGGGACCAUCCUCCAAGGCUAAAUACUCCUGACUGACCGAUAGUGAACCAGUACCGUGAGGGAAAGGCGAAAAGAACCCCGGCGAGGGGAGUGAAAAAGAACCUGAAACCGUGUACGUACAAGCAGUGGGAGCCCCACCACCAAAGCAUUCUCUGGUGUUGAAGGCCCUGCAAAGCAGCAUCGCGGUGGCGGAGCGUCGUUUGCGACGCCCAACACACAAAACAAGCGGUGAGUGCUUUGGGGUGGGGUGACUGCGUACCUUUUGUAUAAUGGGUCAGCGACUUAUAUUCUGUAGCAAGGUUAACCGAAUAGGGGAGCCGGAGGGAAACCGAGUCUUAAUUGGGCGUUAAGUUGCAGGGUAUAGACCCGAAACCCGGUGAUCUAGCCAUGGGCAGGUUGAAGGUUGGGUAACACUAACUGGAGGACCGAACCGACUAAUGUUGAAAAAUUAGCGGAUGACCUGUGGCUGGGGGUGAAAGGCCAAUCAAACCGGGAGAUAGCUGGUUCUCCCCGAAAGCUAUUUAGGUAGCGCCUCGUGAAUUCAUCUCCGGGGGUAGAGCACUGUUUCGGCUAGGGGGCCAUCCCGGCUUACCAACCCGAUGCAAACUGCGAAUACCGGAGAAUGUUAUCACGGGAGACACACGGCGGGUGCUAACGUCCGUCGUGAAGAGGGAAACAACCCAGACCGCCAGCUAAGGUCCCAAAGUCAUGGUUAAGUGGGAAACGAUGUGGGAAGGCCCAGACAGCCAGGAUGUUGGCUUAGAAGCAGCCAUCAUUUAAAGAAAGCGUAAUAGCUCACUGGUCGAGUCGGCCUGCGCGGAAGAUGUAACGGGGCUAAACCAUGCACCGAAGCUGCGGCAGCGAACGUAUCACUUAAAGCGAUUCAGCGGGUUACGAUUGACGGAGCGAAGCGACGUCAAAGCGUAUACAAAGUCGAGUCGGUUUAAGGAUACGUUCGUUGGGUAGGGGAGCGUUCUGUAAGCCUGUGAAGGUGGCCUGUGAGGGUUGCUGGAGGUAUCAGAAGUGCGAAUGCUGACAUAAGUAACGAUAAAGCGGGUGAAAAGCCCGCUCGCCGGAAGACCAAGGGUUCCUGUCCAACGUUAAUCGGGGCAGGGUGAGUCGACCCCUAAGGCGAGGCCGAAAGGCGUAGUCGAUGGGAAACGGGUUAAUAUUCCCGUACUUGGUGUUACUGCGAAGGGGGGACGGAGAAGGCUAUGUUGGCCGGGCGACGGUUGUCCCGGUUUAAGCGUGUAGGUGUGUGUUCCAGGUAAAUCCGGUUCACUUUAACACUGAGGCGUGACGACGAGGCACUACGGUGCUGAAGCAACAAAUGCCCUGCUUCCAGGAAAAGCCUCUAAGCAUCAGGUAACAUCAAAUCGUACCCCAAACCGACACAGGUGGUCAGGUAGAGAAUACCAAGGCGCUUGAGAGAACUCGGGUGAAGGAACUAGGCAAAAUGGUGCCGUAACUUCGGGAGAAGGCACGCUGACACGUAGGUGAAGUGAUUUACUCAUGGAGCUGAAGUCAGUCGAAGAUACCAGCUGGCUGCAACUGUUUAUUAAAAACACAGCACUGUGCAAACACGAAAGUGGACGUAUACGGUGUGACGCCUGCCCGGUGCCGGAAGGUUAAUUGAUGGGGUCAGCGCAAGCGAAGCUCCUGAUCGAAGCCCCGGUAAACGGCGGCCGUAACUAUAACGGUCCUAAGGUAGCGAAAUUCCUUGUCGGGUAAGUUCCGACCUGCACGAAUGGCGUAAUGAUGGCCAGGCUGUCUCCACCCGAGACUCAGUGAAAUUGAACUCGCUGUGAAGAUGCAGUGUACCCGCGGCAAGACGGAAAGACCCCGUGAACCUUUACUAUAGCUUGACACUGAACAUUGAGCCUUGAUGUGUAGGAUAGGUGGGAGGCUUUGAAGCGUGGACGCCAGUCUGCGUGGAGCCGACCUUGAAAUACCACCCUUUAAUGUUUGAUGUUCUAACGUGGACCCGUUACCCGGGUUGCGGACAGUGUCUGGUGGGUAGUUUGACUGGGGCGGUCUCCUCCUAAAGAGUAACGGAGGAGCACGAAGGUUGGCUAAUCCUGGUCGGACAUCAGGAGGUUAGUGCAAUGGCAUAAGCCAGCUUGACUGCGAGCGUGACGGCGCGAGCAGGUGCGAAAGCAGGUCAUAGUGAUCCGGUGGUUCUGAAUGGAAGGGCCAUCGCUCAACGGAUAAAAGGUACUCCGGGGAUAACAGGCUGAUACCGCCCAAGAGUUCAUAUCGACGGCGGUGUUUGGCACCUCGAUGUCGGCUCAUCACAUCCUGGGGCUGAAGUAGGUCCCAAGGGUAUGGCUGUUCGCCAUUUAAAGUGGUACGCGAGCUGGGUUUAGAACGUCGUGAGACAGUUCGGUCCCUAUCUGCCGUGGGCGCUGGAGAACUGAGGGGGGCUGCUCCUAGUACGAGAGGACCGGAGUGGACGCAUCACUGGUGUUCGGGUUGUCAUGCCAAUGGCACUGCCCGGUAGCUAAAUGCGGAAGAGAUAAGUGCUGAAAGCAUCUAAGCACGAAACUUGCCCCGAGAUGAGUUCUCCCUGAGACUUAGAGUCUCCUGAAGGAACGUUGAAGACGACGACGUUGAUAGGCCGGGUGUGUAAGCGCAGCGAUGCGUUGAGCUAACCGGUACUAAUGAACCGUGAGGCUUAACCUUACAACGCCGAAG